ACAGACAUUUCCUUUCUUCAUGCCAAGUACUACAUCACCAUGACUCGACACAUGUCAAAGGCAGGGUAAUGGCAGAUCUUGUUGUCCAAACUGAGACAUUUUCUAGAGCAAAACAUCUCUUGCUGUAUGUAUUGACAGUGAGAUAACAGGCAAAGACAGAACUGUCUUGGUGAAAGGGAUACAGUCACCCAAUCCCAUAAGAUAUGAGGCAAAUACUGUUAUUACAACACAGUAAUAAUCAUAAUGACAGCAAUCAAUGCUUACAGAGCACCGAUGUGCUAGCCUAAGUGCCUCAGAUGGACUAAUCAUUUUCAGAAAAAUUCCACAAAGUUGGUCCUAUUAUUGUAGUGUUAAGGAAAAGGAGAAUACAGGUAAAGUGUUUUGUCUAAGGUUACCCAGAUAGAAUCAAGCAAGUUGUCUUCCAAACUCAUUUUAUAGUAUUACCCUGUCUGAAGGCCCCACCCUCACCCCACACCUACACUGACUGCCUGUUAUACCAAAUAAAAUGUGUUCAAUAAAUGGAUCCCUCUUGGGUACUUUUCUCUCCAACUAAAGCAGCAAUCCCCUAAAAAAUAAAAAUCCAAAACUGAGGAACAGAAACUCUUCAAAAUACCAGAAAAACCUUCUCAACAGGAACAGAAAGAUGGUUUGAAACAGCUCUUCCGAAGUUCCCAGGAAUACUAGUUCUCCACUGGCUGACAGCAUUGGACUCCCACAAUAUCAAACCUUUCACACACAUACACUUUUCCCCCCUUCAUUUUCUUUCUAGUUCCAUAAGUGAAGUGCCUGGUCUGGUCACUCACUGUCCCCUACUUCACUUCCUGAGUAACCUCCAAAGUUUUCACACACAUGACUUCCAUUUUCAGUCCACCCCUCACACUCUAGAUCCACA
Molecule: long non-coding RNA, 892 nt
Filed under: Bos taurus (domestic cattle)
Lineage: Eukaryota; Metazoa; Chordata; Mammalia; Artiodactyla; Bovidae
Description: long non-coding RNA NONBTAT027129
Source: RNAcentral